GGAGAGGUGUCCGAGAGGCCGAAGGAGCACGACUGGAAAUCGUGUACUGGCAACCCCAGUCGAGGGUUCAAAUCCCUCCCUCUCCGCCA
Molecule: transfer RNA, 89 nt
Filed under: Candidatus Latescibacter sp.
Lineage: Bacteria; Pseudomonadati; Candidatus Latescibacterota; Candidatus Latescibacteria (ex Chuvochina et al. 2023); Candidatus Latescibacterales; Candidatus Latescibacteraceae
Description: tRNA-Ser
Rfam family: tRNA
About the family: Transfer RNA (tRNA) molecules are approximately 80 nucleotides in length. Their secondary structure includes four short double-helical elements and three loops (D, anti-codon, and T loops).
Source: RNAcentral